UGAAAAGGCUCGUCCUUCAACUUAAGUAUUUUUACUUCCUGGAAAAGUUAAAAGUGCUUCCUUUCAAGUUUUGUGCCGCGUGAUAAGAAAAGAAUGACUAAAUAACUGGUAGCUACAAGGAUAGAAUUAUCCAAGAUGGACUUUAUCCCUGAGGAUGUUGAUCAACCGUUCAUUGGAAGAGCAGAUUUCCUGAAUUCAUUGUGCAGUGCUUGGAUGAGAAACCGAGUGUUUGGAAUCUUUGGUCAGAAGUCUGUUGGCAAGUCGAGGACGGUGAAGGAAUUCUUGAAGAGACUUCAGUCUGAUGUUGGAGAUGACGGCAGCCUGAGAAUCAUCUCUGUUGACCUGCAGGGUGUCACAUCCAUGGAGACUCUUCGCUUGAAGAUCUUGCUUCCGCUAGGUUUCAUCAAUGAGGUCUGGAACGAUGCUGAUGACUGGGUCUUACAGAUGUAUGACAAAAUUAACACUGACACUCGUCAUGCCUACAUACUGUCAUUUGACAAUGCUGAAGACUGCUUGAACAGUACAGUGAAAGAUGAGUUUAUAUCAACCUGCAGUACCAUCAUAUCGACUUGUCAAAAUACUAGGAUAAUUUUUUCAUCAACGACCAAAAUUGCCCGUGGCUUUCCAUUUUUCUUCUGGCAAGAGUUACCUCCCAUGAACACUACAGAUGGAUCACAGCUAAUCAAGUCCAUUGCACCUUUUGUUGAUUUUGGAGAAUACCUUGAAAAAAUUGUUGAACUGUGUUGUGGACUUCCAUUAGCCAUAACUAUUGCAGGAUGUGAGCUGAGCCAGUCAGAAGGAAUAUCGUUCACUCCAGCAGAGAUGGUUGACAUCCUCAGUCAGUGUAGACUUAGAGCACUCAGUUCAGAAAGCUAUGCUUCAGAGGAACAAGUUGGAUCUGUUUACAGGAAGUUUAUUGAGCAGCUAACAAGGGAAUUCCAGCAGAGACUUGCUGUGUUGGGAUACAUCCCAGGAUCCUUCACAGACGUGGAGGCCAGUCAACUACUGGGUUAUAAUACUUCUAGUGAAACCCGUCAGCAGACAUUAAGUCCUCUGCUGAGACGUAACGUGAUACAGGUUGAUCCUAAAACCAGGAGAUACAACAUCCAUGGUAUUCUGCAGGACUGCCUCGAAGUUUAUUUCAACCUUGAGAACCUUCCUGAAAUACGAAAGCGCUACUGCAUUACAUUCAGUCGGGUUCUGCAUGAGCUGAGUUGCCAGAUGGAGACAACCGAGUAUCUGGAAGCAUACGCUGCGUUUAUCCAGGAAUAUCCCAACCUGCAGAAGCUGCUGACCAACGUGAUCCAUUCAACAGAGGAGAUGUUCCCCUUCUACAUCGAAAUGGCGGCCACAUCCUCAAAUCUCAUCAUAGAGUUCUUUGGCAAUGAAAGCAUCCAGUUUUUCACCAAAUGUUUUGAGCUAGCACAGUUGUAUGGGAAGCAGAGAGACCAGGCUCUGGCGAUGACACACUACGGUCGAACUCUGACCAAUGUCAAGUGUGAUUUUGUAGGAGGAAGAAAAAUGUUAACAAUGGCUGUCAACAUCCUGGAGUUGUCUCCCCCUUCAGAGUCUUUGGCUUCUGUUACACUUAGUUUGGGUUGGACGGUUUAUCUCCAGGGCCAGAUUCCAGAAGCUAUUAAACAUUUCAGCAGAGGACUUGCGGUCGUUCAAGAAGCAGAAUGUGAAGACAGUCUUACCUUGUGCAAACUGCUCAACUGUCUGGGUCUAGCUAACAUGUUAGAGGUCAUUCACUAUGGACUCCAUGUAUAAUCUCUUGGUUAUUAGUUUAAUAAUUAGUAUGCACCACCACCUACCUAGCUUGGUUUUAUUUAAAUGCUACUAUUUUAAAGCUGAAAAUUCUAGUUUUAAAAAAAAUCUAACAAUUUAGAAACAUUAAUGUUCUUACCAUCACGCACCAUUCUUUGAUAUUGUUUGGCUACGCUCACUAUCUGCAUGUGUUGCAGUGGGUAUUGAAGUGGGUUGCUCUUACAUUGGCAAUUGUAAUACAAUAUAUUUAAUAACAUAGUCUAGACUUAGUAACAGACUUGUUAAAAGUUGUAUUUGAAGGCUGCUGACAAUAACCAUGCGCUGAUAGCAAUAACAUACAAAUUUAUUAAAACUGUAGUUGUUUUUAUUUUAAAUGAGUAACUGGUAUUAUAAUAUGGUGAAGUGAAGAUUGUGAGUUUAUUAAGACUUGUUUUUUGUGUUUCUGUUCUGCAACUGAUGUCAUUAUAUGGUGAGGCAAGAUUGGGGCAGUAUAAUAAACUUGUGUGUUUUACUAUAAAGAGGUAUAUUCAGCUACAUGUGUGCCUUCAUGUUACAUAACACUUUUUGAAAUACAUCAUAACAUGUAGGUCUUGCUUUGUCUGACGUACAGUAGCAUAUAAUCACCUCGAACAGAAGCACCAUACACCUAUUUUUACUUUUUGAACUUAAGAUGACUAACAACUUAUUCAAAGUGCCCAUUGUUGAGCGAAUAUACAUGUAAUAGUGUGGAGCAAAAUAUCUCUGUAUUCAUCAGGGUUUGGGACAUGGGGUUUUUCAGCUAGCUGCUAAGAGAAGUGUUGGUAGAAGAAAAAUAAACCGGAUGAUCUCGUCUUAAUGUUUAAAAUAUAGUUGAGAUUGCUUAUUUAGGACAUUUAUUAUAGCCAUUUGGUGUUAAGUGUUAUGGACAUUUUUGGGCAAUAUUUUGCAUGAGGCCAGAAAAUAUACCCUGUAGCUUGGCAUGUUAGACCAUCCUUCUUUGGUAUUUAACCUUUUACUUAAUUAACUUAGAGGUUUUAUGUGCACAUUCAGAGCAAGUUGUUGUAACACUCGGCUAACUGUUUACAUUGUUCAUCUCUUUCAUUCUGACCAUCUACAUGUACCGACCUAUGCACCAUCCAUCUAUUCAUUCAUUCAUCGACAUCUAUCCAUUGAUCCAUCAAUUCAUCCAUCCAUCCAAUGCAUGAUGCAUGUUCAUUUAAUUGCACUUGACAAAGGAAGCUGCAUAUCACCAUGCAAAUACUCUUUGCUGACUAACCAAUCAAAAUGAUGCAUUUCAUAAUGAACACUGUUCCAAAAUGUCCUCCUUUACGAAGCAUCUGCAAGAUUGGAAACCUCAACGAGGCUGAAAAAUAUUUGUUCAGUGCUUUGAGAAAAUUCAGACGGAAGUUUGGUGACAUGCAUCCUUCUGUUGGGUCCGUCUAUAACAACAUCAGUUUAUUGAUGGGCAAUA
Gigantopelta aegis is the source of this 3217-nucleotide RNA transcript. RefSeq lists it as uncharacterized. NCBI's taxonomy places the organism in Eukaryota, Metazoa, Mollusca, Gastropoda, Neomphalida, Peltospiridae. The transcript is spliced from 11 exons. The record is from RefSeq and is a predicted model, not a curated record.